Molecule: ribosomal RNA, 449 nt
Filed under: uncultured bacterium
Lineage: Bacteria
Description: bacterial SSU rRNA
Rfam family: Bacterial small subunit ribosomal RNA
Source: RNAcentral
UUAAAUUUGAAGAACAGAAGACCCUUACUUACUUUUGACAUCCUGAGAACUUUUGGGAGAUUAUUGUGCCUUCGGGAGCGAAGAGCCAGGUGCUGCAUGGCUGUCGUCAGCUCGUGUUGUGAAAUGUUGGGUUAAGUCCCGUAACGAGCGCAACCCUUGUCCUUUUUUGCCAGCGGGUAAUGCCGGGAACUUUAAGGAGACUGCCGGUGACAAACCGGAGGAAGGUGGGGACGACGUCAAGUCAUCAUGGCCCUUACGAGUAGGGCUACACACGUGCUACAAUGGCCGGUACAAAGGGUUGCGAGCUCGCGAGAGUCAGCUAAUCCCGAAAAGCCGGUCUCAGUCCGGAUCGGAGUCUGCAACUCGACUCCGUGAAGUCGGAAUCGCUAGUAAUCGUGAAUCAGAAUGUCACGGUGAAUACGUUCCCGGGCCUUGUACACACCGCCCGU